This 9499-nucleotide long non-coding RNA is filed under the name Sorghum bicolor (sorghum). RNAcentral's name for it is "long non-coding RNA (SBIC_LNC018457)". Lineage: Eukaryota; Viridiplantae; Streptophyta; Magnoliopsida; Poales; Poaceae. The record is from RNAcentral.
UGCAGCUUAUGAGUCGGGCGCAGUCCUUGUUUUCGUGCCGACACCUUUUUCUGUUUUGGUGCUGCGUAACCCUAUUUUGGACCAAUGGCCCAUGUAUCAAGUUGAGUCCAUUAGGGACGCGUCCUAGGGUUGGAGGACGACUCUAGCACCCCUUUGGUCGUCCUCCCCUCUAUUUAUUUACAUCUAGAGCCGCCAUGAACAACUGGGUUUUGUUUAGAUCAAGUUUAGCCUUCGCUACUUGCUUGUAGGCGCGCGUGCAGGAUCAACCGCCCGUCUCCUUGUCUUCGGAACCCCAUUGUUGAUUCAGAUUCAGUUUGAAACCUUCAAUUCAUCUUGCAAAUUCAGUGCUUGUUUCCUCGUUCUUGCUAGUUCUUCGAUUGCUUGCAGGACGGGAGCCCUAGGGGCUGGUUGUCGCGCUCCACAAGAUCGUGACGGCUGUUGGACGUGGUGUAUCGGUUGCUAAGGCGCGGUCUUGAGGGCUGUAGUCGGGCCGUGAACGUCAUCUCCAUCCACUAAUCGAGUUAUCCAGCGCCUCUCAUCGAAAGAUCAGGCCGAAAACCCUAGUGGGUUUACAUCAGUUGGUAAUCAGAGCGAGGUUCUUCGGUGAGAGACUUCUAAUCCUUUGUUGUUUUUAAUUAAUUUCCUAUAGUCCAGAAAAGCCAAAAAAAAUAUAGUAGAUUAGUUUUUCCAUAAUCCUAUUAAACCUUUGUGCCUUGGCUAGUACCGUUUUAGUUAGGGCUUGUUGAAUUUGCGUUGCUUCGGUUUGUGUCGAGUUGCUGGCCUUAGUGUCUAGUCCUUUAGAGUUUCGAGUUCUUGUCACCAUCUAUACACAGCCGAGUAUUACCAUAUCUUCUCUCUGUCGAAUCUGUUGUGAAGUCCGAAUUGAACUGUGAUCCAAAAAAAAGAUAACUCCAUACUUGUUCGGCCUUACUCUAGAGAGAGAGAGAGAGAGAGAGAGAGAGAGUGUGUGUGUGUAGCGAAUUGCUCUUUUGUAUUCCUUUGUUCAUUAAUCAGUUUUUGAGGUUGCCCAAAAAAAAAGAAAAAAAAGAAAAAAAAAGAAAAGAGAAAAGAUUCAAAAGAAAAAAAGGGGCUGUUUUUCAUAUUGAUUUUAGGUUUCUUCCACCUUGUUUUCGGGGGUGUGGUGUGGUUUUCCUUUGUGUCCAGGCUCGCGUCUCUAGCACGGUCUAGCCUAGGACCAGCACAGUACCAUCGUCGAACGCUUAUUCAGCUCGCUUUUAUAACUAACGUGGUGCUAGUUCGUUCCUUGUUUCAGCCCACCUAUAGCUCCACAUACUCUACAGCUUGAUAGGUCUUGUGCUACAGCACCGAUACACUUCGUCCAUUGCUGUACACUUGUUGGCAGACGACCCCUCCUGUCAAGCAAGGUAAGAAUUGGUAAGAACUUGUGUUACAGGUUGAGUGUGAGCGACUUGCUGUAGCUACAUCCUAGUAGUUGUAGGGCUUUUAUUUCUUCACUUGUCUUUUUGUUGUCUUUGUCUUUGAACCAUGCCAGGGGCAGAUGAUGGUAACGAAACACAACUUACACCUCGCACUAAGGGCAUCAUACAACAUUUUGAAAGGAAAGUGAAGCUGCACACAGAGGGACUUGAUAACGACUUGCAGGUGACGAAUGAAAAGCUAGGGCAGUUGGAGGCUACGCAGAUUGUCACAAACAACAAGCUCACAAGUUUGGAGGAAUCCGUUGCUAGUGUGGACAAAAGCCUUGCUGCUCUCCUAAGGCGAUUUGAUGCUUUCCACACCGAAGAUAAAGAGAAGCAUAAAGAAGAAAAGGAGGGAGAUCGAGAGCACGGUAGUCAUGAAGAUGACUACAUUGGUGAUACUGAACAUGAUGAUCAAGACACUCGUGAUCGACGUCGCCUUCGUCACAACCGUAGAGGUAUGGGUGGCAACCGCCGACGCGAGGUACACAAUAAUGAUGAUGCUUUCAGUAAGAUUAAAUUUAAGAUACCCCCUUUUGAUGGUAAAUAUGACCCUGAUGCUUACAUCACUUGGGAGAUUGCUGUUGAUCAAAAGUUUGCAUGUCAUGAAUUUUGCUGAGACUACACGUGUUAGGGCUGCUACUAGUGAGUUUACAGAUUUUGCUUCUGUUUGGUGGAUAGAAUAUGGAAAGAAAAAUCCUAAUAACUUACCUAGAACUUGGGAUGCGCUGAAAAGGGCCAUGAGAGCUAGAUUUGUUCCAUCUUACUAUGCGCGUGAUAUGAUAAAUAAGUUGCAGCAGUUAAGACAAGGUGCUAAAAGUGUAGAAGAAUAUUAUCAGGAAUUACAAACGGGUAUGUUGCGUUGUAACCUAGAGGAGGAUGAGGAACCGGCUAUGGCUAGAUUUUUGGGUGGGUUAAAUCGGGAAAUUCAGGACAUCCUCGCUUACAAAGAAUACAAUAAUGUAACCCGUUUGUUUCAUCUUGCUUGUAAAGCUGAAAGGGAAGUGCAGGGACGACGUGCUAGCGCAAGGAGUAAUAUUUCUGCAGGGAAGGCUAAUUCAUGGCAGCAACACAUGGCUUCAACUCCAUCUACACGUAUUUCUACUCCAUCAUCUAGUGACAAGACUCGAGCUGCCCCCACCAAUUCAGUUGCGAAGACGAUGCAAAAGCCUGCUGCGAGUACUUCAUCCGUGGCAUCGACGGGUAGAACAAGCAACAUACAAUGUCACCGGUGCAAGGGAUAUGGGCACAUGAUGCGUGACUGUCCAAACAAGCGAGUUAUGAUUGUCAGGGAUGAUGGUGAGUACUCAUCUGCUAGUGAUUUUGAUGAGGAUACACUUGCACUGCUUGCGACUGACCAUGCAGGUAAUGAAGAUCAAAUAGAAGAACAUAUUAAUGCAGGUGAAGCGGACCACUAUGAGAGCUUGAUCGUGCAGCGAGUGCUUAGUGCACAAAUGGAGAUGGCGGAACAAAAUCAGCGACACAUUUUAUUCCAAACAAAGUGUGUCAUCAAAGAGCGUUCUUGUCGCAUGAUCAUUGAUGGAGGUAGCUGCAACAACUUGGCAAGCAGCGAUAUGGUGCAGAAGCUUGCCCUCAACACCAAGCCACACCCGCAUCCCUACUACAUCCAAUGGCUGAACAACAGUGGUAAGGCAAAGGUAACUAGACUUGUGAGAAUUAAUUUUUCCAUCGGAUCCUACAAAGAUAUUGUUGAAUGUGAUGUUGUGCCUAUGCAAGCUUGUAACAUUCUGCUAGGUAGACCUUGGCAAUUUGAUAGAGAUUCUAUGCAUCAUGGUAGGUCAAAUCAGUAUUCUUUUCUAUACCAUGAUCGCAAAAUUGUGUUGCAUCCUAUGUCCCCUGAAACUAUUAUGCAAACUGAUGUUGCUAGGGCUACUAAAGCAAAGAGCAAGAGCAAUAAAAAUGAUAAAUCUGUAAUUGGUAACAAAGAUUAGAUAAAACUGAAAGGACGUUGUAUGAUAGCUACCAAAUUAGAUAUUAAUGAGUUCAAUGCAUCCACUUCUGUUGCUUAUGCUUUGAUAUGCAAGGAUGCUUUGAUUUCAAUUGAGGAUAUGCAAUGUUCUUUGCCCCCUGCUGUUGCUAACGUUUUGCAGGAGUAUUCUGAUGUGUUUCCAAGUGAGGUACCAGCGGGGCUGCCUCCACUACGCAGGAUUGAGCACCAAAUUGAUCUUAUUCCUGGAGCAGUUUUGCCAAAUCGUGCACCAUACAGGACAAACCCGGAGGAAACAAAGGAAAUUCAGCGACAAGUGCAAGAACUACUAGACAAAGGUUAUGUCCGAGAAUCUCUUAGUCCUUGUGCUGUUCCAGUAAUUUUAGUGCCUAAGAAAGAUGGAACAUGGCGUAUGUGUGUUGAUUGUAGAGCUAUUAAUAAUAUCACCAUUCGAUAUCGACACCCUAUUCCACGAUUAGAUGAUAUGCUAGAUGAACUGAGUGGUGCUGUUGUGUUUUCAAAAGUUGAUUUACGUAGUGGGUACCACCAGAUUCGUAUGAAAUUGGGAGAUGAAUGGAAAACUGCUUUCAAAACUAAGUUCGGUUUGUAUGAGUGGUUAGUCAUGCCUUUUGGGUUAACUAAUGCACCUAGUACUUUCAUGAGAUUAAUGAACGAGGUUUUGCGUGCUUUCAUUGGGAAAUUUGUUGUCGUAUAUUUUGAUGACAUAUUGAUUUAUAGCAAAUCAUUGGAUGAACAUCUUGAUCAUUUACGUGCUGUUUUUAAUGCACUACGCGAGGCACGUUUAUUUGGUAACCUUGAGAAGUGCACCUUUUGCGCCGAUCGAGUGUCUUUUCUUGGUUAUGUUGUGACUCCACAGGGAAUUGAGGUUGAUCAAGCCAAGGUGGAAGCUAUACAGGGAUGGCCUGUCCCAAAUACUAUCACCCAGGUGCGGAGUUUCCUAGGACUUGCUGGAUUCUAUCGCCGUUUUGUGAAGGAUUUCAGCACCAUUGCUGCACCAUUGAAUGAGCUUACAAAGAAGGGGGUGCCUUUUGAUUGGGGCAAAGCACAAGAGAAUUCAUUCAACAUGUUGAAAGAUAAGUUAACUCAUGCACCUCUCCUACAACUUCCUGAUUUUAAUAAGACUUUUGAGCUUGAAUGUGAUGCUAGUGGAAUUGGUUUGGGAGGUGUUUUAUUACAAGAGGGAAAACCUAUUGCAUAUUUUAGUGAGAAAUUGAGUGGGCCUGUUCUCAAUUAUUCAACUUAUGAUAAAGAACUCUAUGCUCUUGUUAGAACAUUAGAGACAUGGCAGCAUUAUUUGUGGCCCAAAGAGUUUAUUAUCCAUUCUGAUCAUGAAUCUUUGAAACAUAUUCGUAGUCAAGGAAAACUGAAUCGUAGGCAUGCAAAAUGGGUUGAAUUUAUUGAAUCUUUUCCUUAUAUUAUUAAGCACAAGAAAGGGAAGGAAAAUAUUAUUGCUGAUGCUUUAUCACGGAGAUAUACUUUGCUGAAUCAACUUGAUUACAAGAUAUUUGGGUUAGAAACAAUUAAAGACCAAUAUGUUCAUGAUGCUGAUUUUAGAGACGUGUUGCUGCAUUGUAAAGAUGGAAAAGGGUGGAAUAAAUUCAUCGUUAGUGAUGGGUUUGUGUUUAGAGCUAACAAGCUAUGCAUUCCAGCUAGUUCUGUUCGUUUGUUGUUGUUGCAGGAAGCGCAUGGAGGUGGCUUGAUGGGACAUUUUGGAGCAAAGAAGACCGAGGAUAUACUUGCUGGUCAUUUCUUUUGGCCAAGGAUGAAGUGAGAUGUGGAGAGGUUUGUUGCUCGUUGCACAACAUGUCAAAAGGCAAAAUCACGGUUAAAUCCCCACGGUUUGUAUUUACCUCUUCCUGUUCCUAAUGCUCCUUGGGAGGAUAUAUCUAUGGAUUUUGUGUUGGGACUACCAAGGACUAGGAGGGGACGUGAUAGUGUGUUUGUGGUUGUUGAUAGAUUUUCUAAGAUGGCACAUUUCAUACCAUGUCAUAAAACUGAUGAUGCUACAAAUAUUGCUGAUUUGUUCUUUCGAGAAAUUGUUCGCUUACAUGGUGUGCCCAACACAAUUGUUUCUGAUCGUGUCGACGAAAGCUGGUCGGCAGUCUACCUUGGGGUAUACCCACGGUAGUAGUUUAUCGGUAGACGGUGCGCAAACUACGAACUCGAUGGUGACGCAAGACACGGACAAGCUUUUUAUCCAGGUUCGGCCGCCGAGUUGGCGUAAUACCUACGUCCUGCGUCUGGUUGUAUUGGAUUGUGUUGAGAGAUAAUCUCAUGACUUGUCCUCUAGGGGACCCCUGCCCCUCCUUAUAUAUCCUGAAGGGACAGAGUUACAAGCAAAGUAUCCUAUUUGGUACAAAAUCUUGUAGCCUUGCGGUGCACGCCGACCAGUCGUGCGCCGCACGUCUUCAUCUUGUGGGCCGAGCCACCUCUGAUGGUGCGGCCCAUAUAGGCCCAUGAGGGUAUAGGGGUUUAUACCCCCACAGCUAGUCCCCGAGCACCAUGUAUUGUGAUGUAACACGCCGUCUUGAGCUUCUUCGAUCAGCGAGGCUUGACGUCUUCAAUAAACAGAAAAGUCGCCCAAACAGUUGCAAUGGUAUUUUGACCAACUCAAAAGACAGUUGAUCAACAUUGACAUCAAAGAAGCAGGUUGUUCGAAGAAUGCAUGGUGCUCCAAAUUAAAAAAGAUUUCUUUCCUGGUGAAGUGUGCCCACUUUACUUUUCUGAAAAGUAUAGUCUUUCAAAAAGCAAGCACAUUCACCGCAAGGUGAAGUGUGCCCACUUAGUCCCCGAGCCUGGUAGUAGGUGACGUAGGCAAGUGGUGCCAGGGUCAAAAGAAAAGUCCUCAAAGAAAUUCUGAAACUGAGAUGCAUCGCCAGAUGCAUCGUACCGAUGUAGUCCCCGAGCUUGCUGGAAGGCGAAGUAUGAGCCUUGUAGCAAGGUCUAAAAAAUUGAAUUUACCAGUCCCCGAGCAUAUCAUGCUCGUAUGCAAUUGAAUAGACUAAUCGACCAGUCCCCGAGCAUAGAACGCUCGGUGGUCGGUACAGUCCCCGAAUUCUCAAAUUGGUGGGCUGGUCGACCAGUCCCCGAGCGUAUAGUGCUCGGUGGUCGGUGCAGUCCCCAAGCUCUUAAAUUGGUGAGCUGGUCGACCAGUCCCCGAGCGUAUAGUGCUCGGUGGUCGGCACAGUCCCCGAGCACGGCGUAGGGACCGGUGGACAAGUCCCCGAGCGUGGUUGGGAACGUAAACGUGCUCGGUGGUCGGCACAGUCUUCGAGCAUAGCAUAGAGAGCAGUCGACAAGUCCCCGAGCGUGGUUGGGAACGUAAACGUGCUCGGUGGUCGGAGCAGUCCCCGGGCACAGCGUAGGGAAUAGUCGACGAGUCCCCGAGCGUAGCUUGUCGACUGGGCCAAACCCCUGAAAAAUAAAUAUAAAGAAUAGGUAGUACAUGAUGUAUAAAUAAACUUUAGAUAAAAAUCAGUACUGAGAUAAGUUUUAGAUUUUUUGUUAUAAAAUUAGCACAAGUAGUUAAUUCAUCCUAGAGCUUGUACCAGCUCUGGUCUAGCCAACAAUCAGCAUGAGGUGCGGAACCUAGGCAUGCGUAGGAUUGUCAGCCACGUCAGAGAGUACUGCCGACCACCCGGAACGCAGAGGGCGGAUCUCGUGCACGUGUAGGGAGGAGUCGGAGACAAUACCGGCUCUGGAAAGCUCGUGUAGGAGAAAAAACUAGUCGGCUAAAAAAGUUGUUUUGAAGAAUAAUAAAAAAUAUUAUGCCAAAAAUAAAUAAGAUAUUAGAAGUGUACUUAUCUUUGGAUGAAAGUCUAGUCGGUGACGACAAAAUUGUCCGGCCCUCGAGCUUUUCGACUUGUCAUGACGGUGGUCGCUGUUGUCGUAGCGUCGUUCUUCGCGGCGAUUAUUAUUGCGACUGGUGGUCAGAGCAAGUAGGCUAAACAAUUUGGUCGAUGGCCCGAGCAGGUCGGUGUUGUCGAUCUGCCUCUCUUUGUAGCAGGGAAGCGGGUGACGCGUUGUCGGCGUGGUCGGAGACGUUGCUGGAGUAGUCGGAGUCGUAGCCAGCGUGGUUGAAGCCGCCGCCGACGUCGAUGAAGAAGUGGUUGGCGCAGAUCGGAUCUACACCUCCUCCGUGGUCAUGGCGGUGAAGUUGUUGAAGCUGACGGUGAACGUGAAGUCGCCCGCCAUGGCCGCGAAGUCGGGGAUGAUGGCCAUCUUGUUCGUCGGGAGAGCUGUACGCACACCCCCUACCUGGCGCGCCGCUGUCGACGAAAGCUGGUCGGCAGUCUACCUUGGGGUAUACCCACGGUAGUAGUUUAUCGGUAGACGGUGCGCAAACUACGAACUCGAUGGUGACGCAAGACACGGACAAGCUUUUUAUCCAGGUUCGGCCGCCGAGUUGGCGUAAUACCUACGUCCUGCGUCUGGUUGUAUUGGAUUGUGUUGAGAGAUAAUCUCAUGACUUGUCCUCUAGGGGACCCCUGCCCCUCCUUAUAUAUCCUGAAGGGACAGAGUUACAAGCAAAGUAUCCUAUUUGGUACAAAAUCUUGUAGCCUUGCGGUGCACGCCGACCAGUCGUGCGCCGCACGUCUUCAUCUUGUGGGCCGAGCCACCUCUGAUGGUGCGGCCCAUAUAGGCCCAUGAGGGUAUAGGGGUUUAUACCCCCACAGAUCGUGAUGCUAAAUUUCUUAGUCAUUUUUGGAAGACUUUGUGGUUCAAAUUGGGGACUAAGCUUUUAUUUUCCACCACUUGUCAUCCCCAAACUGAUGGUCAAACUGAAGUUGUUAAUAGAACUUUAUCCACUAUGUUAAGGGCUGUUUUAAAGAAGAAUAUUAAGAUGUGGGAAGAAUGUUUGCCUCAUAUUGAGUUCGCCUAUAAUCGUUCAUUGCAUUCUACUACAAAAAUGUGUCCUUUUGAGGUUGUCUAUGGCUUCUUGCCACGUGCUCCUAUUGAUUUAAUGCCUUUGCCAAGUUCUGAAAAAAUAAAUUAUGAUGCUAAGCAACGUGCUGAAUUGAUGUUAAAAUUGCAUGAAGCGACUAAACAAAACAUAGAGCGCAUGAAUGCUAAGUACAAAUGCGCUGGAGAUAAAGGUAGAAAGCAAUUGAUUCUGGAACCUGGGGAUUUGGUUUGGUUGCAUUUGCGAAAAGAUAGAUUUCCAGAACUGAGAAAAUCCAAAUUGAUGCCUAGAGCUGAUGGUCCUUUUAAAGUGCUGCAACGAAUUAAUGAGAAUGCAUAUAAGCUUGAUCUUCCUGCAGAUUUUGGGGUUAGUCCCACAUUUAACAUUGCAGAUUUGAAGCCUUAUUUGGGUGAGGAAGAUGAACUUGAGUCGAGGACAACUCAAAUGCAAGAAAGGGAGGAUGAUGAGGACAUCAACACCAGCGAUACAUAUCCUACAUCCUCUCCGACACAACCUGUAGCUGGUCCUCUUACUCGUGCUCGAGCCCGUCAACUCAACCUUCAAGUAAGUUCAGCUUUAAACCCUUGUCAAUCAUAUUUAGACAAUGGAGACACGUGCACUUUCGUGUUGCUCAGGAAUAAUGGACAAGAUCAGCAAGGGAAGGUUCAACUGCAUUCAGAAUUUGAGGCAACACCAACUUCAAGGGCUGAUUGCAUAUGGGAAGAGUGAUAACUUAACAAAGGUGAUUGGAGAUUAGGUCCAAGCCUCCACAACGUCCUCUAUCAAGUUACCACGUCGCUUCUAAAGCAAGGAAACAAAGAGUCCAAACCCAACACGUUUUGGGAGUUGGAUUCGGACUGGAAAAUAACUCUAACUUGUAUUGAUCACCACGGCGUCAUAUGGACUCCAACUGGGACGUUCCUAUACUUGUUGGAAAGCUCAUGAAGUCUAGUUUCCAAUGGGUCCAACCACAUAUCUAUGCAGCUUAUGAGUCGGGUGCAGUCCUUGUUUUCGUGCCGACACCUUUUUCUGUUUUGGUGCUGCGUCACCCUAUUUUGGACCAAUGGCCCAUGUAUCAAGUUGAGUCCAUUAGGGACGUGUCCUAGGGUUGGAGGACGACUCUAGCACCCCUUUGGUCGUCCUCCCCUCUAUUUAUUUACAUCUAGAGCCGCCAUGAACAACUGGGUU